CCGCCGCCGCCUAAUUCGCCUGCUUCACCUGCUCCGCCGCCGCCUGCUCCGCCCCCUACCUGCCUGCUCCCAUAAGCUCAGCCCCUAAUUCGAAACCCUAGCCUAAAAUCAGGUAAUAGCUGAAUGCAGGGGCUAUCUGUAAUCAAUUUUUUUCUACUUCCCCAUAUAUGGCUGAAUGCAGGGGCUAUCUGUAAUCAAUUUAAGGAAAUUCAUAUAGUCAUUUAACGUAUUCGAUUAAGGAAUAGGAAUUCAUGGUUGUCUGUAAUCAAUUUGAAUCGAUUAAGGAAUUCAUGGUUGUCUGUAAUCAAUUUGAAGGUUUAAUUAUUUGUUAGUACAUUUGAUUGAGGCGCUCUCUCACACAGAUUUACUUUUCUACUUCCAGAUUUGCUGUGGUCGUGUUGAUUGCCACUAUUCAGGUUGGUCCAAUUCCCUUCACUAGUGUGUGUAUUCAUCUUGAGUCUAUUCCAUUCUGUUAUCAUGGUUGGCAACUAGGA
RNAcentral lists this long non-coding RNA (494 nucleotides) under Salvia miltiorrhiza (redroot sage). RNAcentral's name for it is "long non-coding RNA (SMIL_LNC004930)". Lineage: Eukaryota; Viridiplantae; Streptophyta; Magnoliopsida; Lamiales; Lamiaceae. The record is from RNAcentral.